CAAGGAUUCCCCUAGUAACUGCGAGUGAAGCGGGAAAAGCUCAAAUUUAAAAUCUGGCGGUCUUUGGCCGUCCGAGUUGUAGUCUGGAGAAGUGCUUUCCGCGCUGGACCGUGUAUAAGUCUCUUGGAACAGAGCGUCAUAGAGGGUGAGAAUCCCGUCUUUGACACGGACUACCAGUGCUUUGUGAUGCGCUCUCAAAGAGUCGAGUUGUUUGGGAAUGCAGCUCAAAAUGGGUGGUGAAUUCCAUCUAAAGCUAAAUAUUGGCGAGAGACCGAUAGCGAACAAGUACCGUGAGGGAAAGAUGAAAAGCACUUUGGAAAGAGAGUUAAACAGUACGUGAAAUUGCUGAAAGGGAAACGCUUGAAGUCAGUCGCGUUGUCCGGAACUCAGCCUUGCUUUCGCUUGGUGCACUUUCCGGAUGACGGGUCAGCAUCGAUUUUGACCGUCGGAAAAGGGCUGGAGUAAUGUGGCACCUCCGGGUGUGUUAUAGACUCUGGUCGCAUACGACGGYUGGGAUCGAGGAACGCAGCGCGCCGCAAGGCAGGGGUUCGCCCACUUUCGCGCUUAGGAUGCUGGCAUAAUGGCUUUAAACGACCCGUCUUGAAACACGGACCAAGGAGUCUAACAUACCUGCGAGUGUUUGGGUGGAAAACCCGAGCGCGUAAUGAAAGUGAAAGUUGAGAUCCCUGUCGUGGGGAGCAUCGACGCCCGGACCUGACGUUCUCUGACGGAUCCGCGGUAGAGCAUGUAUGUUGGGACCCGAAAGAUGGUGAACUAUGCCUGAAUAGGGUGAAGCCAGAGGAAACUCUGGUGGAGGCUCGUAGCGAUUCUGACGUGCAAAUCGAUCGUCAAAUUUGGGUAUAGGGGCGAAAGACUAAUC
This 880-nucleotide ribosomal RNA is filed under the name Ganoderma resinaceum. RNAcentral describes it as "partial large subunit ribosomal RNA". It matches the Rfam family "Eukaryotic large subunit ribosomal RNA", at positions 69 to 936 of the family's 3401-position model. The record is from RNAcentral. Lineage: Eukaryota; Fungi; Basidiomycota; Agaricomycetes; Polyporales; Polyporaceae.